This 85-nucleotide transfer RNA is filed under the name Candidatus Latescibacterota bacterium. RNAcentral describes it as "tRNA-Leu". It matches the Rfam family "tRNA". Rfam says of the family: Transfer RNA (tRNA) molecules are approximately 80 nucleotides in length. RNAcentral also lists the same sequence under 1 other name. Lineage: Bacteria; Pseudomonadati; Candidatus Latescibacterota. The record is from RNAcentral.
GCGGAAGUGGCGGAAUUUGGUAGACGCGCUGGGUUCAGGGUCCAGUGAGGGUUCCCUCGUGGGGGUUCGAGUCCCCCCUUCCGCA